This 564-nucleotide ribosomal RNA is filed under the name Kodamaea ohmeri. RNAcentral describes it as "partial large subunit ribosomal RNA". It matches the Rfam family "Eukaryotic large subunit ribosomal RNA", at positions 26 to 681 of the family's 3401-position model. The record is from RNAcentral. Lineage: Eukaryota; Fungi; Ascomycota; Pichiomycetes; Serinales; Debaryomycetaceae.
UUUUUAUACGUUUUGCAUAUCAUUAAGCUGAGGAAAAGAAACCAACAGGGAUUGCCUCAGUAACGGCGAGUGAAGCGGCAAAAGCUCAAAUUUGAAAUCCCCCCGGGGAGUUGUAAUUUGAAGAUUGCGUCUUGGAGGCGACCGUGUCUAUGUUCCUUGGAACAGGACGUCACAGAGGGUGAGAAUCCCGUGCGGCACGGCCCCCGGCUCCUUAUAAGGCGCUCUCGACGAGUCGAGUUGUUUGGGAAUGCAGCUCAAAGUGGGUGGUAAAUUCCAUCUAAAGCUAAAUACAGGCGAGAGACCGAUAGCGAACAAGUACAGUGAUGGAAAGAUGAAAAGCACUUUGAAAAGAGAGUGAAACAGCACGUGAAAUUGUUGAAAGGGAAGGGCAUGCCGUCAGAUUGUCAGUGUGGGUAAGAAGCGGGGUACAAAGACUGUGGAACGUGGCCCUCGGGUGUUAUAGCCGCAGUUCAUGCCCCGUCUCUUUCCGAGGCCUGCUUUGAGGACACCGACGUAAUGACGGUACGCCGCCCGUCUUGAACCACGGACCAAAAAGGUUUAAAU